AAUCCUAUGGAACUGAAUGAAAUUGAAGCCACCGACAUAGCGAAGAAGACAGUUUUUUUCCUUUCGGAAUUCAUUAUCUUUGUUUUGGUUUGUAUUAAACAAAUCCAGUUCAAGUGACUGCUGAUAAGUAAAAUGUCAUGGUUUCAUUUUUAUUGUUUUUCGUGGCAUCCACUUACACUUACACAUACUGACACCCACACACAUCAACCUCGUUCAUAAGCAAGUGCAGCUAAGCUGAAUGAAAUGUUCUUCUUACUUUGGAGUCGGCCAUAUUACACAUGUAUGAACAGACUUCGUGGGAAGGGAGAAGCCUCGGAGCUUCCCCCGCAAAGGGCCGUUAAAAUCUGCUGCAUAGCUACGGCUUUGGCGUACACAACAGUUUGUUGGACACUAUAUUUGCCCGCUAGCGAUACGCUUUAGAAACUUUUUAAUUAUUUCUUUUGUGGGGGAGAACGAAGGUAGCCCAAUAGGACCCUUGCAAUGGUGGUGAUUUAUCAAACAGUCCAUGAGCUGAGCAUGAAACGGCAACCACUCCCAACACUGUCCCCUCUCAAGUCAUGCAUUUGCCUUUUAUUUACGUUCUCCCUGCAUAAGAAGUUUGCAGUUCACAAAAGUUCGGUAAAAUAAAAUAUUAACUUAUUCACAUAACAUUUGCGGUUGCCAUAAAGCACAUCGAGAAGGAACGGUUGGGUUCUUGUGUUGCCCGAGCUGAGUUCCCUCCCCUGCCUCCGUCAUUCCCGCACCUACUCUGGCCCCAACAAAGCGCCCUUGCAUCAGCAUCUGCAUCAACUCCACAGAUACACAAGUAGGAUACAUUGUUCGGCCAUGUUAUACGAUUAUACAUGUAAUUGCUACUUUAAUAUGCCAAACAGGCACUUUUGCCCGGAGUUUGUCCCUUCUUUCUGCCACUUGUCGCUGAUAUCGAAUCGAUGUUUUGGUCCUGCAGAGCACUUAAUAUACAUAUGUAUAUGUUUGCUGUCCCAAUGUAGACAUCGAUCCGAUUUUAAAAUAAAAAAUUAUUUUCAGUUUUGGUGCUUUAUUUUCGGAAGAAAUAUCACCAUAUGACCAGGAUGGAAUUGUUUCAAAGACAAUUACAAAGCAUUCGUCAAAACAUAUAUUAUUAUAGUAUUUAGAGAUGUUAGUCGAAUGAUCCGCAGAUGGUAUUGAAUUGCAACAGAUGCGCGUACAAUAGCGGUUGGGUCUUGCCCACGCCUGGCGAACACAUUAAGUUGCGCCAAAAAAAAAUGUUUUUAAAUAGUUCACGUACUGAAAGCCAUAAAUGCAAAAUUAGAGCUAAUUCGAUCGAAAAAUGCAACAUGCCUAAUCAUGUGCCUGAAAAUGUCAUUAGGACUAUCAUAAUAUUAGAAGUUGGCCAGUAAGUGAACAUAUUUUUAAAUAUCUACCAGUUCGAAAGUACCGAACAUAUAUUUACACAAAUAGGGAUACCUUUAUUGGAAAUCAGAAUAUUCAGUUGUCAUAAGUUUUGUACAACGCACAGAUUGUUCUAUUGGAAACCACAAGGAUUUCAAAAAAGACCCACUCUUAUAUUUUGAGAUACACAGAUAGGAGUGGGAAACUAUUUUGUAGACACUUAAUAUUACUUCAAUGGGCGGAUCAUUAUGGAUAGGCUGCAGCUAUUCUUGGAGCCCAUAAAAUACUGCUUUAGAUUCUACAAUUCCACCAAGAGUACUUUUGUAGCACAAUACUGUUUUGUUGUUAUCAAUCGCUUGACACACAUCCCGCCCAGCCGCAUUAGAAUCCAUAUUUCUUCUGGAAUCCGAAUGAAUGUGUGUAGCUGAUUAGAUUUGAAUGUGUUGGUAUUGUUUUUCGUCCGAAACAAAUGAAAUUAGUUUCGAAACUGAUUACACGCUCACAAUGGCUGACUGCAGGGGUCACACCGUGCUAUCGCCAUCGGCGUAAAACCCAACUUCGAAUGAAACGAACUUAGUCGCAACCGAGGCAUAUAAAACUAGAUUUGUGAUCGGAUGCUGAUUAGUCUGUUUCCGAGUUUUGGGACAAAGUGUUCUGUAAGCAAUCGAGAAAAUCUUAAACAUGAAAUUCACCUGGUUCUUGGCUAUUUUCUGCGCCAUCUUUGCCUUGGUCGCCGGUCAACAAUGCCCCACCAACUUCCAACUUAACUCCGCCAAGAAAUGCGUAGCCGAUCGCCCCGUCCAUGGCACCUGUCCGUCGCAAUCCGAAUAUGAUGUCAGUCUGAACAAAUGUGUGUAUGGCAAGCAGGUCACUCGUAAAUGAAAUGUGAACAAAUAAAAUAGAAGAACAUAUUUGUAA
Molecule: long non-coding RNA, 2289 nt
Organism: Musca domestica (house fly)
Lineage: Eukaryota; Metazoa; Arthropoda; Insecta; Diptera; Muscidae
Exons: 2
Source: RefSeq, a predicted model, not a curated record